Molecule: ribosomal RNA, 160 nt
Filed under: uncultured bacterium
Lineage: Bacteria
Description: partial 16S ribosomal RNA
Rfam family: Bacterial small subunit ribosomal RNA
Source: RNAcentral
UAGGGAAUCUUCCGCAAUGGACGAAAGUCUGACGGAGCAACGCCGCGUGUGUGAUGAAGGCUUUCGGGUCGUAAAACUCUGUUGUUAGGGAAGAACAAGUACAAGAGUAACUGCUUGUACCUUGACGGUACCUAACCAGAAAGCCACGGCUAACUACGUG